AAAGAGAGUGGGAGGCAUGCCUAACACAUGCAAGUCGAACGAGACCUUCGGGUCUAGUGGCGCACGGGUGCGUAACGCGUGGGAACCUGCCCUUAGGUUCGGAAUAACUCCCCGAAAGGGGUGCUAAUACCGGAUAAUGUCUUCGGACCAAAGAUUUAUCGCCUUUGGAUGGGCCCGCGUUGGAUUAGCUAGUUGGUAGGGUAAAAGCCUACCAAGGCGACGAUCCAUAGCUGGUCUGAGAGGAUGAUCAGCCACACUGGGACUGAGACACGGCCCAGACUCCUACGGGAGGCAGCAGUGGGGAAUAUUGGACAAUGGGCGAAAGCCUGAUCCAGCAAUGCCGCGUGAGUGAUGAAGGCCUUAGGGUUGUAAAGCUCUUUUACCCGGGAUGAUAAUGACAGUACCGGGAGAAUAAGCUCCGGCUAACUCCGUG
RNAcentral lists this ribosomal RNA (433 nucleotides) under uncultured bacterium. RNAcentral describes it as "partial 16S ribosomal RNA". It matches the Rfam family "Bacterial small subunit ribosomal RNA", at positions 31 to 507 of the family's 1533-position model. The record is from RNAcentral.